UGCGUAGGUUGAUAGGUAAGUCAGUGGUGAAAUACUCCGACUCAAUCGGAGAACUGCCGUUGAUACUAUCUAUCUUGAAUACGGUGGAGGCGGGCGGAAUGCGUCAUGUAGUGGUGAAAUACUUAGAUAUGACGCAGAACACCCAUUGCGAAGGCAGCUCGCUACACCGGCAUUGACACUGAGGCACGAAAGCGUGGGGAUCAAACAGGAUUAGAUACCCUGGUAGUCCACGCCCUAAACGAUGUUCACUCGAUCUCGGCGAUACACAGUCGGGGUCUAUGCAAAAGCAUUAAGUGAACCACCUGGGGAGUACGAUCGCAAGAUUGAA
RNAcentral lists this ribosomal RNA (328 nucleotides) under uncultured Flavisolibacter sp. RNAcentral's name for it is "bacterial SSU rRNA". It matches the Rfam family "Bacterial small subunit ribosomal RNA", at positions 568 to 898 of the family's 1533-position model. Lineage: Bacteria; Pseudomonadati; Bacteroidota; Chitinophagia; Chitinophagales; Chitinophagaceae. The record is from RNAcentral.